This 1060-nucleotide long non-coding RNA is filed under the name Bemisia tabaci. RNAcentral describes it as "lncRNA ENSSSA1UGG005830". The record is from RNAcentral. Lineage: Eukaryota; Metazoa; Arthropoda; Insecta; Hemiptera; Aleyrodidae.
AGAUUUAGAGGCCAUAGCUUGGCUUGUAAAAUUGCCAGCAACUAUUUUACUUUUUAGAGAAAACGUAAAAUAUGUUGAAACACGAGGAGGUAGAGAGAUAGAGAGAAUGAAAUGCAGUAAUGAUAGAAUUACACACGAAAGGAAUGCAAUUUUCGAAAUUUGAUAGCAGAAUGACAAAAUGUGCGAUUGAUAACUUCAGAGUCUUUUAUCAGAUUUCCGCUGUUGUUAUGGGAGCGGCGAGCGGCAGGGGGUCACUGACGUCAUUUUCUUAGUGCGCCUGCGCCGGAGUGGAAAAAUUGGCGUGGGGCAGCGGAGAGUUGGCAACAAAAUUACGCAACUUCACUGUUCCACUGCACUAUAUGGUUCAAAAAAAAAAUAGGCCACAGAACACCAGAUAAAGCUCAAAAAAGUCAAAAACUUUGAGAAGAGUACCGAAAACAAAGCGAAAGUCAUCCAAACAGAGGAAAGAAAGAGGCUGAUGAUAACUAAACAAAACAAAAGUAGCCUUUUAGGCCUUUAAAAAGUCAAAAACUGCAGAGCAGUCUGAACACGUCCUUGCAGCUCAAGCGACUAUUCAUAUCCUUUAUCGCACGCAAGUAAUUUUAGUUCAGUUAGUGAUUUGAACCCUAGUUUUAAUCGAAAUUCUAAUCCUAAGAUUCAAGAUUCCUUCACGGCAAAUCUAAAUAAAAUUGAAAAUAAUAGUUCUGAUACACACUUUGAGCUCGUUCUUCCGAAACAUAGCAUUUAUAAGCCUUGCACCACUCAUAAGCCAAGCAUCUGUGAGCCUAUUACAACAGAACCUCAAAGUAUCUUUCAGGAUUCAACUUCAAUUUCAAAAUUUGAAAGAACAGAAAAUCAAAUCAAUGAAUAUAAUUCAAAUUACGAUUCAGAACUAUUGCUUAUUCAUCGAUAGUACACACUGUGGAAAACUUGACCGUAACUCUUGCAUCAACCCCAUGGAUAUCAUCUUCAAGGUAUUUAGGUCAUAGGGCUGUAGCACAAAUUUUCUCUUUAAUUCAUUCUUUCGAAGUAGUUAAAAAUGAACAUGUAAGGGUGUCAG